Cebus imitator (Panamanian white-faced capuchin) is the source of this 3477-nucleotide RNA transcript. RefSeq lists it as uncharacterized. NCBI's taxonomy places the organism in Eukaryota, Metazoa, Chordata, Mammalia, Primates, Cebidae. The record is from RefSeq and is a predicted model, not a curated record. The transcript has 4 exons.
AAGAGAAACAAAUUUGGCGGAAGGGGUAUCACUGCGGGUGUGGAGGGCGGAGCGAGAGUCAAGGGCGGCUGGCGCUCGCACAGCCUAGAGGAAGCAGGAGAGGCGCUCAGAUGGGUACAGCCGGGCCAGAAGCUGCAUAGUGGGUGUGGCGAGGGCGGGGUGUGUGCACCAAGCUGAGUCCUGCCGCAGUCCAUUUAUCCUGUCUGGGUGAGUGGACGGGCGAGGAAACUUGAGGAGCAAUAUAGACCCUAUCGUGGCCUAUUUCUCUUUCCUUGUUGUUUCGUCUGGGUUUCUCUAAUGAAAAGGGAACUUGGGAGCAGUUGGAAACACACUUAAGACUCAAGCGAUGUGGGUCCUAGCCCUCGCCCUGUGCCUGUAGGUGUUUGAGCAGGGCAGUUUAGUGCACGUUCAAUGUGUUUUUUUUUUUUUUUUUUUUUUUCCAGUCACUGUGCUACGCCUUGAAGAUGCAGGCGCGUAAGACGCUCAGACCCUGACUUUGAGCUCCCAGUCUAGUAGGAAAGAUAGGCAAGCUGAAAACUGACAAAAAUAUGAAGUAUUGGGGCAUUAACAAAUGCCAAGUCUGAUCUGUAAAUCUGAAUUUAGUUACUGCCAACAUGCUCAUUCUCUCUGGGGUGAUGAGUAGGAUGAAGUAGAGAAAUGGUCAUAAAUUACAGUAUAGACCAUUUUAUAAAGAUAUAUGCACAUUUCUUAAGAGGGCAAAAGAAAGUGGUAAAACAAGGACCAGGAAGGCAGACAAGUAGGUUUUAGAGAGCAGCUUACAAAGUUGUAGAUGUGCGCACUACAGGAAAUGGAGUUUUGUACUGCUUGGAUCUGAGGGACUGCCAGAUGAGGCUUGACAGGGUCCCCUCCCGAACCCAACCGAUCUUGAGGUCCCCAAGUUUCCGACCCUGGGCCCUCCGCCAGGACCACUGCGUACAAGCCUCUCACCCCGAACGUUGAUGUUGAAGCCACAGCGCGUACAGGUAACCGUAUCCUGAGCCCCCGGCAGAGGCAGGACCGAGCCGCACUCCGAACAGAAAUCCAAGUCCGACUGAAAGCUGGAGCAAGUGCUGGCGAGGUCCAUGACGCACGUGCGGUCAGGUCUGAGGAGGGAGUUAGAAGUUAUAUUAACAAAAAGAGAGAGGAAUCCCCCCAACACAGAGGUCAGAACUAUUCUGUCCCAGUACCUGGGAGUAUAUUACCCGAGCUCUCCUCCCAUGCACGCCUCCUGCCUCUGCGACCAGGCAGCUGAAACGCCCGGAAUGGCUUACCAGCUAGCGUCGGGUACUAAAGGACUUGGAACCCUUUCCUGGGGCCGGCGAGAGGAGCCAGCCAACUCUGUGGGCUAGAGCGGCAGCUCUGCGCCCGCGGCUGAGCAGCGAGCUAGAGUGUCACGCAUUCGGGCUGACGAUUGGUUGUGACGUCAUAAUUAAUUGCGAACCGUGUCUCGGGAGCCUUAGAGAUGGAGCCCAACCUCUCCGAAGGGUGUUUGCGGUACGAGUUUCACCCUAGUGCUGAGACGUUGAGCACAAAACUGGUAGCCAAUGAUGCGCUUCCAGCCGAUUUUCCCAUCAGCACCCAAUCCUGGGGAUAUUUAUUCUUUGUCUCACAUCCUACAGGAACCGAGUCCCGGGGGAUAUCCCCCUGAAAACCGUAUUUUGCCGUAAAUCAUAUUUAAAAAUACUGAUUUCUUUGGAUUAGAGAACUACAACUACCCUGAUCCUGAGCCGGUAUUUCCCUUUUGCGGCUGCAGAGUAGUUAAAAAGAAAGCUAAGUGUUCUGGGACGUAAAGUUUUAGCGUUCCUUGGGUCCCGCCGGCGAGCGUGGGCUUUCUGCAGAGCGCAACCAGCCUCGUGUGCUUUGGGAACCGUUCGCCGCUUAUAAGGGAUUGGCCUGGGCUACUUCAUCUAAAGAUCCUAGGAUUGCUGCAGGUCAGCAGUCUCCACUGGAGAAAAUGAUCUUGGUCUUAAGACCCUCUCCAGAGAGGGUCCCACCCUGUACCUUAGGAGAAGGAAUGCUGGCAUCAUGAAGCUUCCAUAAAAACCCAGGAGAAUUAGGUUCAGGGAGCUUCCAGAUAGCUGAACACGUGGAGGUUUUUGGAGAGAGGUGUGUGCAGGAAGGACAUGGAAGCUCCAUGCUCUAUCCGAUACCUCACUCUACAUGUAUUUUCAUCUGUAUCCUUUGUAAUAUCCUUUAUAAUAAACUGGUAAACAUAAAUAUUUCCCUGAAUUCCUUGAGCCACUCCAGCAAAUUAGUGAAGCCCAAACAGGGGGUGGUCGGAACUCCAACUCAAAGCCAGUUGAUCAGAAGUUCUAGAGGCUGGGACCUGCAAUUGGUAUCUGAUAUGGAGUAGUCUUGGGGAUUAAGCCUCCAGUCUGUGGGAUAUGAUGCUAUCUCCAGGUAGAUAGUGAUGAAAUUGAACCGGAAGACACCCAGCUGUCCACUGCUUGGUGUGUGGGGAAAAAGCCCGACACCUUUGGUCACAGAAGUCUUCUGUGUUGAUGAUUGUUGUGGUGGUGUGAGAGCAGAGGAAAAACGUGGUUUGAAAGAGGGUUCCCUAAUAUAGCGUAACGAAAACAUAAAUGUCACAGAUACUCUUUCCAGAAAAUAUGUGCAUAUGCAAAGACAUAUAAAUAUUAGUAUAAAAUCUUAGUGUACACACAGGUCCUCUGAAGUCUUAGAAAUCUAGAUUUUAAAAAACCCUAACAAGAGAUAAGUUUUGAGCAAUCAUUUCACCAUCCCACAAUGCCACUCUACUUAUCUGAAUAUAAACUUGAUCAGAAAAAGGUUGUACCUCAUAACAGACUAUCAAGGGAAUAAGUUGAAAGAUGUAAUUCAUUAGUCACUCAUUCAUGAACCGAACCCAAGUGUCUAUGAUGUACCAGAUAAGGUUCUAGUCUCAGAUUACUGCUCUAGGAAUAGACUUUUUUUCAUUCUUUUUCCACCCUAUCUUCCUGUGUCCCAGCACCUGAACCCACUUUAUAUGUUAGGAGAGUUUCAUACUUACAGAGUCAUGAUAGGAGGCAGACACCAACUCCUUUCACAAAAGAGAUGAAUUCACUUUCCAAACAUCUGGCAGCUGGAUGUGGUAUGAGGCUUAGGUUUCACCAGGCAGAUAACCACUUGCUGGAUUCUGACUUGGCCUGGUGACACAAGCUGGUACUGUGCACACAUUUUACUAAGUGUGGUGUGAGUGGCAGCAGUGAUGUCCAAUUACCAGCAGCAGUAGUGACAGCAGUUCUGUCUGCAGGGUCCAUUGUCCAGCUUUAGAGUCUCAUUGGUAUGAACAGUGACAUCUGUGCCUGGCAUCAGGGGCAGUAAUUCCUAUGUGAGACUCCACCUAGGGUGUAAUUAUAGAUUCUGCUCCUGGCUAUGUAGCCUUAAACGUAUUCUCACAGGCCUUCCCAAAAUAAGAUAAACACCAAUCUAAUUAAUAUAGAUAGAUAGAUAGAUAAAUUCCUUUAUGUUUAAAUUAGA